UGCAGUAGUGUGGGGAUUUUUUCGAUGCUGGCUUAUAAAGUCGCCUAUUAAUUAUUUGUUGCGUUUACUAAGCCAAUAAGUAUAAUACGCAACAGCACAGC
Streptomyces sp. WAC00263 is the source of this 101-nucleotide non-coding RNA. The record is from Rfam. Lineage: Bacteria; Bacillati; Actinomycetota; Actinomycetes; Kitasatosporales; Streptomycetaceae.